Onychomys torridus (southern grasshopper mouse) is the source of this 653-nucleotide long non-coding RNA. RefSeq lists it as uncharacterized. The record is from RefSeq and is a predicted model, not a curated record. The transcript is spliced from 3 exons. Lineage: Eukaryota; Metazoa; Chordata; Mammalia; Rodentia; Cricetidae.
UCCUAGGGGGGUGCACACCCUGAGAAGUUCCAGGGCCCCAGGAACUCCUCUCAUCUCUGCUUCUGUCAAUCCAGAGGCUCUUGCCAUCUCCACCCUAAAUGGGGAACUACAGGAAAUCCCCUGGAUCUGUUCCCUCCAGAGGAUGGGAGACCCCAACUCCCUGCUGCUUUCAGAGAUGAGUGCUCAACAAACUCUCCCAGGCCACUCACAUGGAGGCACCAAAAACUGCUGACUUCCUCAGGCCCAUGGAUUACAUCCCUCAACUAGACAAUCUUGUCAAAGACAUAGUGUCCUGAUGUACCAUUUGCACACAAGUGAACCCCAAAGAAGGAGAAAAAGCUCUGGAAGGAAUUUAUACCCAAGAAAGCACUUCUGGAGAACAUCAGGAAGUGGAAUUUACCCAUGGUUCUCAGUCCUUACAGGCCUGGAAACAGACCUAGAGGACUAACUAUUCAUCAGACAAUUCAAGAGGCUGCACCUUUGCCCAUAUAUGAGCCUGCCUACGAGUUCCAGCCUGGAGACCUUGUGUGAAUAAAGAGAAUCUCAACCCAGAGCCUGGAGCCAACAUAGAAAGGCCUGUGCUCUGUGGUCCUCACCACCCCCACAGCACUGAAGGUCACUGGUCACUUCAUGGAUCCACCAGACCCAGCUGA